CUCCUCUCAGGGUCUCACCUGGGGAGUUUCCAGUACUCUACCAGUCUCAACUACAGGAGGGAGAGUCAAGCAGAGGCAUACCCAUUCCAUUCCUAGCUUGGCCAGUGGCUAGCAAGUGGCAGGCAACCUGCUACAAGU
This 138-nucleotide small nucleolar RNA is filed under the name Ornithorhynchus anatinus (platypus). The record is from RNAcentral. Lineage: Eukaryota; Metazoa; Chordata; Mammalia; Monotremata; Ornithorhynchidae.